ACGGCCAUGUCAUGUUGAAACACUGGUUCUCGUACGAUGACUGAAGUUAAGCAACGUCGAGCCUGUUCAGUAUCUAGAUCGAUGACCGCUUGGGAAUAUCAGGGGCUGUAAG
Acanthosepion pharaonis is the source of this 112-nucleotide non-coding RNA. NCBI's taxonomy places the organism in Eukaryota, Metazoa, Mollusca, Cephalopoda, Sepiida, Sepiidae. The record is from the annotation of a GenBank genome assembly.